AUACGAAGGGGGCUAGCGUUGUUCGGAAUCACUGGGCGUAAAGCGCGCGUAGGUGGAUCAAUUAGUUGAGGGUGAAAUCCCGGGGCUCAACCUCGGAACUGCCUUCAAUACUGUUGAUCUUGAGACCGAGAGAGGUGAGUGGAAUUCCUAGUGUAGAGGUGAAAUUCGUAGAUAUUAGGAAGAGCACCAGUGGCGAAGGCGGCUCACUGGCUCGGUACUGACGCUGAGGUGCGAAAGCGUGGGGAGCAAACAGGAUUAGAAACCCUAGUAGUCC
Molecule: ribosomal RNA, 274 nt
Filed under: uncultured bacterium
Lineage: Bacteria
Description: partial 16S ribosomal RNA
Rfam family: Bacterial small subunit ribosomal RNA
Source: RNAcentral